CAUAAUAACGCUAAACAACAACAAGAGAGUUUCAACAAAGAGAAUACCAAGUCCCCAAUCUCACCGAUGGAGCUGUGGAAGGCAGGAAGCUCUGACUACGUCGUCUCUUCGCAGGGAGCCAGGCCAGCAACCCCGUCCCCUUCCUCACUUCCCUUCUGGUGCCCCUACCCACAUGCCCAUUUGAGGCAGUCCACAGAAAAAAAACUUGUCCCCUUUACUCCCAUUAUUAGCAUGGUGUUCUGAUGUGGAAUACCAACACCAACCAAAUUGCAAAACCAUAACAGUCAUUUUGCUGUGGUGUCCCAGCUGCAAUAUUUAGCCCAUAAACCAGUCUCUGGAGUUCUCAGGCUGUCCCAGCAGGAAUGAAGGUCAAAACCUCAGCUAUGCCUGAUCCUCUCUGUGUUUUCCGGGACUUUUCAACUUCCACUCUACUUUUUUUAUUUCUUCUUUUUCCUUUUCCUUUGCCCAAGCUUGUCAAAUAAAUUGCAUCUGUUUUUUUGGCCAUUACAGUUUAUGGUUUCUAGGAAAGAGAAAGACUCUGUCCGUUUACAAUAAAUACCAGAGAACCAGGAAUAUAUUAAAGGAAAGACUGAUGCUAUGAGGGGGGAAAAUACUUUUCUAUUCUACAUUUGCACCAAAUUAUAGCUGAACUAUCUUUGAAGAACCUCAGGGAUGAAGUUGUGCGGCUUGUGGUUUUUCUUGAGGGUGUCUGGAGUGUGACGAGCAUCAGUGAAAGCAGCAGUGGCUUCUCCCAGCAGCUGCAAUUGCUUGGGGUUCUGUAGGACAUAAGGAAGCCAUUUGAGGACAGAACAAAUGACAUUUUGUUUCCUUUCCCGCUCCAGGAGUGGGCUGAUAGUUUCAUUUUGUUUCUUACCCUAUGGGGUCUUUGCCUCAACUGCUGAUAAACGUAGUCAUUGUUAUUAAGACUGAUGGUGUAAUCUUAGCCUGGUGGUGGAUGAUUCUUUUUCUACCUGCUGGUAGCAAAUAAUGUCAUCUAUUUUUGCCUUCAGGAAAAAGAAAAAAAACCCUCCGUUUGAUUUAUGUGCUACAAAUGCACUAAUAAAUUACAAUUAAGUGGUAGAAGAGGCCUUCUGUGUCAUCUUUGGUUUCCUGCUGCUGUUCUGUAAAGAUAUUUUCUGGUCCCUCUGUGCAUAUGCCAGCUACACUGAGAAUAGAAUCAAUGGCAGCACCUGAACAUCGUUUGUUUUAUUUCUUCAGAAUUAUGUUUGUUUCAGAGGAUCGGGGAGAGGAAGAUAAAUAGAGAAGAAUCACCUUUACCCCACAAGCAGUCAUUUUGAUAAAGGUAUAAUUAAAUUAAGUGUGCCAGAAAGGAUCAUCAUAAAUAGAUUCUCUCAAUAGAUUUAUUAUGCUGUCAGUGUUGGUAAUACAAGUGUUUAUUAAAAAACGAUCAUUUAAAACGUCAAGAAAACAGUAGCUGGUUCUCUAUCUUUCUGAGGUAAACAGAUAAUUCUAUCCUGGGCCUUUAUUGCCAAUAUUUCUAUAUGUUCCCAGCUAAUAAAAACCAUUAAUAAUAACGUUUCCCAAUCUUGUCUAUUUUCAUCUUAUUUUUUUCUCUCAUCUAAAUGAUUUGUCAUAAAUUCCUCUAGGUCAUGGAUGAAGAACAUUGCUUAGGGCUAAGCAGACCUUUCAGUCUCUUCUUAGUGACUGCAAAUUACAGCAAGUUGAAUGGAAUUGAGUCCUGGGCCUGAAGAUCCCUGUUCUGUUUCUACUUAAAGCUUGUCCAGAUGCUCUUCCUUCUGUUGCACAUUUGCAGCUGCACUGGGAUUAUUUCAGUGUUGGAGCUGUUUCCAGAGAACACGUGGAAUGUGUUCAGCCAGAAUAUUGUACCACUUAAGAAAGGGAUGAAGAUUCUCUCUUGUAUUUAAAGCAAAGAUAGAGAUGGAUCUGAAACUUAAGAUUUAUUUUGUGUUUAGUAGUGCUAUAUUUGUGGGGAAUUUUCCAGCAAAAAGGCAGCUACCUCACCUAUCUGGCUCCUAAAGGACAGGGGAACGUUUGUUGGAUGUUGCAACAUGUAUUAAGAGAUGGGGUGUGAUGAUAUUCAGUUGGGCAAUUUGUGUGACUCACUUGAUGACCAAAUUCCAUUACAAGGCCUGUAGAGAAGCCCAUAUAAAGUGUAUUAUGAAUUCAAGCAACUUAAUAACAUAACUUUCGUUUUGUUGUGGACUCGUAACACUAGAUUACAGUUUGGCAGGACAGUUUGCCACAGCGUUAUCUUGGAGCUGCAGGAGGUAUAAACUGAUAUUUUGGGGCUCAACAUCUCUUCAAGAAGACAUCUCUGAACUUGUGAAGAGGCUUCGCCCUUGCAUUUACCACCUGUCAGGAGACUACUUCAGCACUGUGCCAACGAGCAGAUCCAUGAGCAUAAUGCAGCCACUUCUGAUCCCCAAACUAAGUGAGACUUCGGUUCACAGCACCACCUCCUGCAGCUUCACAGGAUUGGUAUCAGCAGGGAGAAAAAACAGCCUCAAAGAUCAGCGGAAAGCUCUAGCCCACCCUGGCCAGGUUUCCAGCCCUGGUGGUAUGAAGGUAAUAGCUUGGAAUGUGCUUUACACAUUCAUCAGAUGUCUAGACGAGAAACCUCUCACACCAAUUAAACACUCUGGCUCAGGUAAUUUCUGAUCUGCAAGUUACUGGAGGUUUGGAAAGUACACCAGAUCAGUCUCACUGCACACUUACCUGCUCUUACCAUCUUCCAUAGCUAUUAACCAUCUUACUUUCACAGUUAGUUAAGAGACUUUCUAAGUACCUUUUUUGUUGUUUUGUACCUUAAAAGAGUGGGAUUUUUAUGGGGAUCCUUAAUGAGAUUAUAGUGUGAUUUUACGUUUUAAUGGUAGAACCUUAUUUUGCUCAUUUUUUAUCAUUUGAUGUUUCACAGAUUGUCACCAAAGAUGAAAAAAGCCCAGAUGUUCUGGACUGAAACAAAAGGAGUCUCACUCAGCUCAUAGGCAGCAGCACAGGCAGGGAGGAUGUAGCAGCUGUUAUUCAGUUUGUAAGCCAGAAUUUUCAAAAAAUCCAGGCCUAGGUACACUUAUUUCCAAGUUUCAAAUGUUCGAACGCUUCCAGGCGUCCCAAGAAACCCAUCUGAGCUGUGAUUGCUGCAUAACUUCUAAGCAAAUUCUACAAUAACAUAAUAUUCAAAUCUGUAAAUGCUAUUAGAGUUAACUGAAUCAUCUGGGUGAUUGUCAGAAAAGAAGGAAGAGCAUCAGUUGCUUUCUGUUGCCCAAGAGAGUUCAUUUUUGAGAACAGACUUGAGGACAGUAUACUAACAAACAAAUGCAACUAUAAAAUAGUGUGCAGUGAGUCUUUGAUUUACAUAGCAGAAGUUGGAAGUACUUAAUCAUUUCAUGAUGUCGUAUGGUAUAAAAUAUCCCAUUGGCCACCUUAAGUCAGCUGUCCUAACUGUCCCCUCCCAGCUCCUUGUGCCCUUUGCUGUGAAUAGCCUUGGCUCUGCACAAUGCUGCUUAGCUGCAACUAUAAACGUUGGUGUGCCAUCAACAUUUUCUUUCUACUAGAAGCAGAGCUGAGCAUCAUAACAGACCCUCUGAAGAAAACAAUACCAUCCCAGCUGGAACUAAGAUAUGAAAAACUGAGAACAUGACUUCAGUUGGAUGUUUCCAGCUCAAGCUGUAGAGGCCAAAAUUUGUUCAUACUUGUGCUUUCCAUUGGUCUUGAUGUGGUUGCAUGUACAUAAUGAACAGCAAAAUGUAGCCCGCUGACUUAACUUUGGCCAUUUACAUGCUUUAAUCUUUAUGCUCUAGUAUUCAUAUUGCUUAAGAAAAGAGGAGGAUCUAAGUGUUUUGUUAGUAUUAAACUGGCUUAUGCUGACUAGUUCUAAUUACAUUAUUUCUAGUUGCCAAGUAGAGAAAAGAUUCAGAUCUUCUGAAUACCACAAAAUCAGUAGCUAUUAAGCUGUUUUAUCAGUCAUACAGAUUUUGGUUUGCAUGUCUGACAGUUUUUCUGUCAUUUCUGUCCGCAGUAGCAAUACACAAGCAUUCUGUAUAAUGAACCCUCAAACUAAUUACUUUUCAGAAAUGUUUGAUUUUUUUCAUGCAUAGAAAGACCUGUGGUAUGCAGAAUACCAUUCUUUGUGGGUUUUGACUAUACUGUGCCAGGAUUCCCGGUGUUAAGAAAUACAAUUAGACAAAGUCUGCAUGGAUGGACAGAUUACAGACAGAUAUAUGUGUGUAGAUAGAUGUGCGUGUCCUCAGAAAGAAAUCCCAGAUGGAAAAAAAUUGGCAUAUCUGAGCAAAUCAAGAUGUAUGGUAGCUUUAAAUCAACUUUGCUUUAUAGUGGAGAUAUUGCCUAAGACUUUAAGAGUGCCUGCAGUAACAGUGCAAGCUGAGAACCAAGUGUUUGGCAGGGGUUCCAGAGUAGGAACUAUGACAAGCUGAGGAGAACUUUCUGAAAGCUGAUUCCAUAUUAGAUUGUUUAAAUGCAAAAUCUGUAGAUUUCAUACUCUAGGUACUUUAACUUAUUUGUUUGUGCUUAAGUCUUGCCAACCAAAGCAUAAUCUGAAAGAGAAUUUUGGUUUCUGAAUUCUCAUUAUAUUUUCAAGCUUUUCUUGGCAACCUUGGAGGCCAGGAGGGUCCAACGUCUGCUUUUUUAUUUACUUUUUCUAAUUAAGGCUCAGAUAACACACUCAAACUCUUAACUCUAGAGGCUGGAGCUUUAUUAAAACAAACAAAGAAAGCAAAAUUGGAAAACAGUGAAUUUUUGUAGCUGUUAAGAUAAACUUGUUUUCUCAAGCAUGCCAAAUUUGAAAAGAAUAAGUAGAAAGGUAGAAAAUGAGUAAAGAGCAUCUUCCAAGAAGGUUGGCCCUAUUUGUCUAAAAGUGGGACAAGGAAAACUUUUAUCUCACUUAACUUUUACUUUUGGGUGGCAUUUGAACAGGGUUUGUGUGUUUGGCAGCUCAUCUGUUGAGCCAUCUGUUUCGUAUUAUGCAUGUUCAGAAGGCACUUUGCAUCCAGGGAUACAGUUCCCCAGAACACAGGAGAUGUGAGUUGGAUUUGCAGUCUAGCUCUCUGUAAACAUGGAUAUGCAAUCAUAUAUGCAAAUAAAUUCUGUUCAUUUUGGAGAAAUCGAAGCAUUCACACAGAUGGAGAAACCUGAUAAAGGAUUUAAGUGGAGAGCCUGUGCCUGUGCUCAAGCAGUGCAGAAUGAGAGGAAACCACCUAGCAUCCCCAGGUAGGAAGUUUCUCUUCUACAUUGAAAACUUCUUGAUAGACUAAGAGCUGACAUAGUAACCAGUUUUACAGCCCAUUUAAACGGUGUCUUAAGGUGAUUAUAGGGUAGAGAUUUGGUUCACUACAUUCAUGAAUCGUCCCAGCACAGUACUAGGCAUGAAUUGGACGGUCAAUCAGAAAGUUAUAACCAACUCUUUGAGAGCCUGCGUGCAAGUACAUCUUGGCCAGGAAGGAGGAUCUGAUCCAUAAAUGGUACAUUAUUUAAUGGUACAUUAGGUAAAUUUUAUAUUAUUUAUGGCAUACUAGUGGCACUUAACUUUCUCAUAUGCUAGCUGUUUUGAACAUACUUCCUUUAUUCAGAAUAUACUGCUCGUGCCACCCCUCCCUAUUCCUUCCUUUCUCCAGAAUGCUGACUCAUUUCCUUUUACUCUUUCAGCCAGCUUGCAGUUUUAGCCAUUUCCUUGUCCAUGUAGCAGUGAAACACAAUACUUCCCCACCAGCAGCACUGGGCAACUCUGAUGCAUCAACAGCAAUAUUGACCAUGGUCUUUUCACAGAGUACACUAAAAGUAUGGACUUGAGCAACAUGCAGGAGAAGAAAAUUUUGCUCAUGUGGUGCAAUGGUGGGAGUAGUGGUAAAUCUAGAACAAGCCAGCAGACUUAAGGGAAAAGCUUCAUUUCCUCAUAAUUAUCUUCCUAGAGUAUUUUGUUUCCUUUCUAUCGAUCUUCAUAUUAGCCAAAGGCACAGAAUGUUUGCAUUGUCAGCAAAGCCUGAGUCUUCUGGUGAUGAGGAUCACACUUAGGUGAUAUUGUUCACAAUCAAUUGGCCACAUGGUGGAUCUAUUGCAUUGUUUGGGCAGAUCUUUCGCAAUGUGAUGUGCAUAAAGAUCUCAUUAUGACAUCAAAUUCAGUGAGGUGCUAGGAAGUAUUUAUUUCUGCUAUAAGUAGCAUAUGUUAUUAUUGCAUGUGCACAAUUUACACAUCUACAGAUUUAGUGGUUUUACUUUGUUGUGAUAUAUUUCAUCUGUUCAUCUUAUCAUAGAUCUUGAUAGUUCAUUGCUUACUCAAGCUGUAUUACUGUUUAAGUUGGUCUCCAGAACAGUACAGGAAUCGAUGAACAUUAUUUCAGCAAUGUUACAAAAUGGUGAUACCUAAACCAAAUGAGUUCAAUUAAAAUUUUGCCAGCUAGGAUCUUGUUAGUAGAAUAAAUGCUUUUCUUAUAUGAACAACUUGUCAAAUUACUGCAAAGCUAUGAGAGUAGGGGACAAAAUUGUAGGCAUUUAGAAAUGUCAGAUAUAUAAUAAUGAUAAGGAAGAGAGAAACAAAAUGAGACAUUCUCUGCUGUUUUUAGAACCUGCCAAGAGUGCGGCUGCAAUAUUUUGGGAAGAGGAAUCUUUUAGACUAAAGCCAUCUGGCUGGCUUUCAUCUGUGCCAGUUGUUAUACUGGCCAAGUGCCCUGUCCUGCCUCCAAAACGUUUCUUGAAGAAGAAAUUUGAUUAAGAAACACAGUAACUCCCUGUUACCUGACUGGAAAUGUAUCAGUUAAGUGACUUGGAAACCCAAGCAAGCAAUCCAAGCUUUGGUGUGCCUGUCAGAGCCCUUGUUCAAAAGCUUCAUCUAUGUUCUGAAGCACUUUUUGGAUACUCUUCCCUUGUCAAGCCUCACUUGGAAGCAAGAAAGGCUGGCUGUACAAUCUGCUCCAAUUUGCUGUCCAAUGCGCAUGACAAAUACAGUUUAAAACAAAAUAGGUCAUUUGUCUCAUUCUUUUAAUUACCAACUACUUCUGAGAUACUGUGCGCACUGAUUUUGUUUCCUGUUCCUUACUUUUCCAAAAGCCAGCCAUCUAUCACACCAAGGCUUUUCAAGGCCUAUGUCUGUGUGACAGGACUGGCAACUCAGUUCACCUGUUGAUGUCACAAUCCCACACUGGAGAUAUCUGUAUGCUUUUAAUUUGUGAUUGUAGCAAUUCAAUAUGCUGUAAAAUGGAUUUGAAAUUAUCAGAAUUAGAUACUGUAUUGGCUUUUCUUAAUGAGUAGGAUAUGAAUAUUUUGUGAUGCCAUCCAAGCCUUUGAUGAGCUUUUUAAAUUUAAGGUUAACAGUCAUCUUGUGUACCUAAGAAUCACAACUACAAAAACAAGGGGACUUGAAAAGCAAGAAUUAGCAUCAGACACUUGUAAAUACAGCGAUGUAGAUUUUCUUGACUUUGAUUUCUUGAUCUCUGCCAGGCGCUGGUAUUGUUUGCAUUUUGGGGCCAAUGUUUGUGUCACCUGGCUCAUAGAUCUGUUUUGUAGACCUGCGUAGGAGACUCACAGCUCAUUUCUAGCCUUGGAUUUACUCCUCGUUUAAGAGAAUUGGAGAUAAAUGCAGCAACUCAUAUAUUCAUUUCACAGUUAAUUAAAUAGGUCUACUGUUGAUUUCCAAGCAUUUUUUCUUCCGCCCACCUGCAUGCAUAUAACUGACCAUCAUCUAGAACUAUCAGAAGAAAAGAAGACAGAAGCUCAUUCAAUCAUUUUACACAAAUACUUCUGUAAGUAAAUUCCCUGGGGUAAACUUGAUUUGAACAGGAACUAAUUAUAUCUCUUCAGUAAACAGGAAGAGACUGACAAUCAAGGAUGUUUCAGCUCUGGAACUGGAAUGCCUUUGAAUCCUGGAGAUUUUUUUUAGGAAGAGCACAUCCCCUUUUCCUGCAAAGCUUAUGUAGUUAUUUGGUCUUAUCUAGUUUACAAGGCUUCAUCCUCUGUUUGAUCCCGAGGACCUUCUUAUUUUCUUCUCUUACACCUCCGCAUUCUUUGUGUAGUUUUCCUACCUCGUAUCUGUUUGUUCUGUGAGCAAUCUGGGGGUUUUUCCUUUUAAAGGAGGACCAAUCUGUCAUAUUUAUACAAAUUAAACUGAUUUAGGAAUCUGAAAAUCUGGUUUGAGACUUUAACAUCAUCAAUAAUUUUAUAGAUAGAUCUGUUAUACAAAUGUAUAUAUAAACACUGAUAUGUUCUUUAAUUACUUAUUAGCUUUUGUGCAUCUCAUUUAAAUAAAUAUUGCCAGUAACAGAAGGAUUUCACUCAGAUUGUCUUUCAAAUUCUGGAAAGCUUUUAAAAGGACAGAAUAUUUUUAAAUGCAAUUUUAUUUGUAAACCAAGCAUCUUUCAUCAAAAAGCUGUUGUGAGACCUCUGAAAUCCACAACGUAGUUUUCUCAAUCAUGGUAAUUACUGCACUGGAAAUAUUUUCCACAGCUGCUUUAAGUGCUACUAAAGCUCAGUUAGAAACAGUUUUUAAUGGGUGAUUUCCAAACCUUUAUAAUUACUUCUAUUGCAAUGCAAGAGGUGAAUCUGCUUCAAUUUUCUUACUACAAACAACAUAAAAGAAGCGUAAGGUCACAGUUAUGCAAGUCUGUGUCAGCUGGUGGAGUUCAAACUUCACUCGUUCUCUUACAUCUGAUCCCUCACAUGCGCACCUUAAAUAGUUCCACUAAGGCUGAAUCAUUGCUGCAUUAGUUUUGCAACUCAAUCUCAAAGCAAAACAGAAAACAAAUGAGUCAUUAAAGGAAUAAUUUGGUCAUCUCUAAUGGCAUUUUGUAUUUCAAUUGCAUGUUUGUGCAACCUGACAAGAACAAAUACUAAAUUUAGAGCUUCUCACUGCACCCAUACUUUGCAUGAAAGAGGUAAUACUCAGACUUUGAUAAUUAUUGUAUGUUUAAAAUAUUUUUCACUGAAGAGCAUAUUUUAGGUGCUAUCUCAUCAGCUGUGUUGCAGUGCUAGGGUUCACAACACCAGACUGAUUUAGAAGAAUGGAAAAGGAAAGGUGAUGUGUUUUAAUUACAUGUCAGUAGUUCAAGAAAACAAGAGAGGUUUUAAGGCAGCAUUCCUCACUCUUACAUGGUGACACCAGCGGGAUUAUUUGUUUUGUACUUAGAGGAACACUUUGUCUGCCAGUGUUGUGCAAUUUUUGGCCAAGGAGCAGAACAUAUUUCUCUCCCUGCUACAGUGCAUUAAAUCAAAAAUAAUCCCACAAGGUGGGGGUUUCUCAUUUAUAGACAUACAGCAGGAGUGAUUCUGAGCAGGGGGAGAGCAGCAAGAAGAAAUUCCUACUGAAUCACACCAAAUUCCUUCCGUCUGCAGAAGGGACUGCAUUAUACUGUCUGAUAGCCUUCACAAAGUGCAGCCUGCAGUCUCUCUUACAGCAUAUAUGCCUGGUACCAAUGGAGGCAAGUAACGCUUUGCUUUUUUUGUUCACUAUUGUCAAUAAUUUAUGAUCUCCUCCAUAGUAACAAAGGCAUUGAAACACAUUUUAAUUAGCACAGUUUCAAAUGUAGCUUAAUCAUGGUUAGCUAACGCAUUUAAAUCAGCCUUGUCUGCUGAGGGCAAAAUCAUUAAAACCUUUUCAAAUGCCAUUGAUUUUCCAUUGUUGUUAUGGCUUUUGACCCAUCUUCUCACCAUCCCUUUGGCAGUCAUGGUACCAUAGCCCACCUGACAGCUGUUCUGUCACCAGUGGUCUCAUCAUUGUAGUUCAUGUACAUGGGAGAGGUUAUUGAUGAAACCAAGUGGAACAUGACUAAAAUGUCGGAAAGAUUGUUACUAAUGUAAAAUUAAAUACGUGUCUGUUGUGUUGAGUAAGGAUGAAUUUAAAUGUGUGUUUUGUUUUUUUAGUGUUUGAAUCAGUGCUUAGCUUGAAGAGUUGCAGGUAAUAGGAGAGUGAUUUGGGAAAGUUAAUUUUGUUUUUGUCUUAUGGCCAAUAUUAUUGCAUCAUUGCCAUUUUACUUCCAUUAUUUCCAAACCACGUUGAUAUUCUCUUAGGGUUCUAAUUAAGAAUAGAAGAAAAUGAAGGAAAACUGAGAUGAAACUAAGAAUUUGGAAAAAGAAACAGAAAUAAUGAAAAAAGAGAAGGUCAGGAUAUACAGUAAUACCCUCAAAAUGGCAUAAUGCCAUAAAUAGUCAUGAGUUUGUCUUAGAUAAACAAUUCCAGGAGAAGAAAAACAAUUUUAGGGUUCAACAAUGCAUUCGCUUACCUAAUUGCUUAAUGUAUCCCAUAAUUCUGAAACAAACUGAGAAUCUUUCUGAUGGGCAGAGUGGAUUUGUUUUGUGUUAGGGAUAUGCUGGGAGUUCAGUGUGUAGAUGUUUAAAAUAUAUUCAUUUUAAAACACAGCAGACCUGUAAUUGUAUUGGAAAGGCAAAUAUUGCAUUCCCUGGACUUAAAGUAUAGGCAACACGCCUCAGGAAAAACAGAACAAAGGAUAAGCUUUUUUGCUUGCUGCUUUGUAAGGAUAUUAGUUUUCAAUCUUCACUAUUGUUGAAUAUACGACACACAUUACAAUAUUGAUGCGUUUAAUUUAUAAUGAAGACUGUUGCCAUUGCAUCAGUGGUAAUGCUUGUUCUAUUUCUGUCCAAUAAUAUAUUAAGCUUUACAAGGAAUGGCUGCAUCUUCAACUGUUAAACCUGUGGCCUUAAUUAAUUAAUUAAUGCCUUUGAAGAUUUUUCUGGUUUCCAAGCAUGAUCUUGAGCUAAAAAUUAAAUGCCUUGUGAAAAAUGUUA
This is a non-coding RNA of Coturnix japonica (Japanese quail), 10725 nucleotides long. The record is from RefSeq and is a predicted model, not a curated record. NCBI's taxonomy places the organism in Eukaryota, Metazoa, Chordata, Aves, Galliformes, Phasianidae.